CCCUUAGAGUUUGAUCCUGGCUCAGGAUGAACGCUAGCUACAGGCUUAACACAUGCAAGUCGAGGGGAAACGACAUCGAAAGCUUGCUUUUGAUGGGUGUCGACCGGCGCACGGGUGAGUAACGCGUAUCCAACCUGCCCACCACUUGGGGAUAACCUUGCGAAAGUAAGACUAAUACCCAAUGAUAUCUCUAGAAGACAUCUGAAAGAGAUUAAAGAUUUAUCGGUGAUGGAUGGGGAUGCGUCUGAUUAGCUUGUUGGCGGGGUAACGGCCCACCAAGGCAACGAUCAGUAGGGGUUCUGAGAGGAGGGUCCCCCACAUUGGAACUGAGACACGGUCCAAACUCCUACGGGAGGCAGCAGUGAGGAAUAUUGGUCAAUGGACGAGAGUCUGAACCAGCCAAGUAGCGUGCAGGAAGACGGCCCUAUGGGUUGUAAACUGCUUUUAUAAGGGAAUAA
RNAcentral lists this ribosomal RNA (458 nucleotides) under uncultured bacterium. Its description in RNAcentral is "bacterial SSU rRNA". It matches the Rfam family "Bacterial small subunit ribosomal RNA", at positions 1 to 449 of the family's 1533-position model. The record is from RNAcentral.